AGAGUUUGAUUAUGGCUCAGGGUGAACGCUGGCGGCGUGCCUAACACAUGCAAGUCGAGCGGUGCAGCUGGAGGCUUCGGCCGAAGGCUGCAUAGCGGCGGACGGGUGCGUAACGCGUAGGAACGUGCCCCCUGGAGGCGGAUAGCCGCGGGAAACUGCGGGUAAACCGCCAUAGACUCGGGAGAGUAAAGCCGAAAGGCGCCAGGGGAGCGGCCUGCGUCCCAUCAGGCAGUUGAUAGGGUAAUGGCCUACCAAGCCGACGACGGGUAGCCGGUCUGAGAGGAUGGCCGGCCACAAGGGCACUGAGACACGGGCCCUACUCCUACGGGAGGCAGCAGUGGGGGAUAUUGGACAAUGGGCGGAAGCCUGAUCCAGCGACGCCGUGUGGAGGACGAAGCCCUUCGGGGUGUAAACUCCUUUUGUCGGGGAAAAAGGACUGAUGGUACCCGACGAAUAAGCCCCGGCUAACUACGUGCCAGCAGCCGCGGUAAUACGUAGGGGGCGAGCGUUACCCGGAAUCACUGGGCGUAAAGGGUGCGUAGGCGGCCGCGUGUGUCUGGCGUAAAAUACCACGGCUCAACCGUGGGAAUGCGCUGGAAACUACGUGGCUUGGGUGCGGCAGAGGCAGACGGAACUGCUGGUGUAGGGGUGAAAUCCGUAGAUAUCAGCAGGAACGCCGGUGGAGAAGUCGGUCUGCUGGGCCGUAACCGACGCUGAGGCACGAAAGCUAGGGGAGCGAACCGGAUUAGAUACCCGGGUAGUCCUAGCCGUAAACGAUGCUCACUAGGUGUGGGGGCGGAAGCCUCCGUGCUGAAGCUAACGCGAUAAGUGAGCCGCCUGGGGAGUACGCCCGCAAGGGUGAAACUCAAAGGAAUUGACGGGGGCCCGCACAAGCGGUGGAGCGUGUGGUUUAAUUGGAAGCUAAGCCAAGAACCUUACCAGGGCUUGACAUGCUGGUGGACCGAGCCGAAAGGUGAGGGCCCCUUAUGGGGAGCCAGCACAGGUGGUGCACGGUCGUCGUCAGCUCGUGCCGUGAGGUGUUGGGUUAAGACUCUAAGGGGACUGCCGGCGACGAGCCGGAGGAAGGAGGGGAUGACGUCAGAUACUCGUGCCCCUUAUGUCCUGGGCGACACACGCGCUACAAUGGGGUGGACAGCGGGAAGCGAGGCAGCGAUGCUGAGCAAAUCCCUGAAACCACCCCCCAGUUCAGAUUGUGGGCUGAAACCCGCCCACAUGAAGCCGGAAUCGCUAGUAAUCGCGGAUCAGCCAUGCCGCGGUGAAUACGUUCCCGGGCCUUGUACUCACCCCCGUC
This 1312-nucleotide ribosomal RNA is filed under the name uncultured Thermotogae bacterium. Its description in RNAcentral is "bacterial SSU rRNA". It matches the Rfam family "Bacterial small subunit ribosomal RNA". The record is from RNAcentral. Lineage: Bacteria; Thermotogati; Thermotogota; Thermotogae.